RNAcentral lists this ribosomal RNA (801 nucleotides) under uncultured Fibrobacterota bacterium. Its description in RNAcentral is "bacterial SSU rRNA". It matches the Rfam family "Bacterial small subunit ribosomal RNA", at positions 84 to 884 of the family's 1533-position model. Lineage: Bacteria; Pseudomonadati; Fibrobacterota. The record is from RNAcentral.
UAGCAAUACGAGCGGCGCACGGGUGAGUAACACGUAAAGAAUCUGCCCUGAAGUGGGGAAUAACUAUCCCAACGGAUAGCUAAUACCGCAUAAAGACGGGGAAGGCAUCUUCCCUAAUCGAAAGGCUUCGGCCGCUUCAGGAUGACUUUGCGUCCCAUUAGCUAGUUGGCGGUGUAAUGGACCACCAAGGCUACGAUGGGUAUCCGGCCUGAGAGGGUGUACGGACACAUUGGGACUGAGAUACGGCCCAGACUCCUACGGGAGGCAGCAGUAGGGAAUUUUGCGCAAUGGGGGAAACCCUGACGCAGCGACGCCAUGUGUGGGAUGAAGCAUUUCGGUGUGUAAACCACUGUCAGCAGGGAAUAAAAGGUUUCUUCGGAGACAGUUGAAUGUACCUGCAAAGGAAGCCCCGGCUAACUUCGUGCCAGCAGCCGCGGUAAUACGAGGGGGGCAAAUGUUGUUCGGAAUCACUGGGCGUAAAGGGAGCGUAGGCGGGCUUCUAAGUUAGGUGUUUAAUCCCAGGGCCCAACCCUGGUCGUGCACUUAAAACUGGGAGUCUUGAAUAGUGGAGAGGUCAGUGGAAUUGGGGGUGUAGCGGUGGAAUGCGUAGAGAUCCCCAAGAACACCAGUUGCGAAGGCGGCUGACUGGACACAUAUUGACGCUGAGGCUCGAAAGCAUGGGGAGCAAACAGGAUUAGAUACCCUGGUAGUCCAUGCUAUAAACGAUGAAUACUAGGUUUUAGGCCCGUCAACGGUCUAGAGCCGCAGCUAACGCGUUAAGUAUUCCGCCUGGGGAGUACG